Molecule: long non-coding RNA, 636 nt
Filed under: Oncorhynchus kisutch (coho salmon)
Lineage: Eukaryota; Metazoa; Chordata; Actinopteri; Salmoniformes; Salmonidae
Description: lncRNA (ENSOKIG00005008549.1)
Source: RNAcentral
UAUUUGCUGCAACUGUGCUACAAACAUACCUGCACCAGAUUUGAACAAUAAGACACUUGCUAAAAUAAUAUUUGAACCUCCUACACACAAAGCCACACAACCUGCACAAUAAUAGACAGAUGCGUGCGUGCGUGCGUGCGUGCGUGCGUGCGUGUGUGUGUGCGUGUGUGUGUGUGUGUGUGUGUGUGUGUGUGUGUGUGUGUGUGUGUGUGUGUGUGUAGUAUCAUAAAUUAAUAAAUACAAGUUAGGCCCCUCAGUUGAUUAUGUGAACACAUUGCACACGGACUAUCUGCAUCGACAACUACAUCAGACAAUAAAUUAAAUAAACACUACAACAGUACAACAGUAAUUGCGGCGAAUUAUAUUUUAGCACGCAAACUGUAGGAGGCCAAGGUGAAGCUAUACUGUAGCCUACAUAACGCAUAACGCUGCUGAUCUGUCAAACCAUGCAGCUACUGGGGCUAGCUUGGACAGAAAAAUACGCACAAAUGCGACAUGCAAGGCUAGGUUCACCGAGGACGCGGUCCAGCUCCUCCCUUCACAAAGAAGAAUGAAAGACCUCAAGUACCUGACUUGCCUUACCCGAUGGGAGAUGAGGUUAGGUAUUCUAUAGUCUACAGCAGUUUUGUAUGGACC